ACAAGACUAACAUUGGAUUUCCACAGCUCUUUCGGCAGUGGGCUGGAAAGUGCUAUUAAAACAUGGCUGUUUCAUAAUUUCCCUAUUGGCUUCUGGGUUUCCUGCUAAAAAAUCCCUCCAACAUCGGCUGGGCGCGGUGGCUCACGCCUGUAAUCCCAGCUACUCAGGAGGCUGAGGCAGGAGAAUCACUUGAACCUGGGAGGUGGAGGUUGCAGUGAGCCGAGAUAGCACCAUUGCACUCCAGCUGGGUGACAAGAGUGAAACUCCAUCUAAAAAAUAAAAUCCCUCCAACAUCUAGGGCAAAAUUUCUUUUUUAUAUUUUCUUAUAUUGACAAAUAAAAAUGGUGUAUAUUUAUC
This 357-nucleotide long non-coding RNA is filed under the name Homo sapiens (human). RNAcentral describes it as "HSALNT0293493". The record is from RNAcentral. Lineage: Eukaryota; Metazoa; Chordata; Mammalia; Primates; Hominidae.